CAGUCGCCACGGGAAUACGUAGGGUGCAAGCGUUAAUCGGAAUUACUGGGCGUAAAGCGUGCGCAGGCGGUUAUAUAAGACAGAUGUGAAAUCCCCGGGCUCAACCUGGGAACUGCAUUUGUGACUGUAUAGCUAGAGUACGGCAGAGGGGGAUGGAAUUCCGCGUGUAGCAGUAAAAUGCGUAGAUAUGCGGAGGAACACCGAUGGCGAAGGCAAUCCCCUGGGCCUGUACUGACGCUCAUGCACGAAAGCGUGGGGAGCAAACAGGAUUAGAUACCCCUGUAGUCCCUGUCUCUUAUAC
RNAcentral lists this ribosomal RNA (301 nucleotides) under uncultured bacterium. RNAcentral's name for it is "partial 16S ribosomal RNA". It matches the Rfam family "Bacterial small subunit ribosomal RNA", at positions 509 to 807 of the family's 1533-position model. The record is from RNAcentral.